ACUACAUGAGUAUUUAUGUACAGCUGACUUCCAAUCAACAAGAUUAAUUUAUUAAAUGUAGUA
Molecule: transfer RNA, 63 nt
Filed under: Tropostreptus sigmatospinus
Lineage: Eukaryota; Metazoa; Arthropoda; Diplopoda; Spirostreptida; Spirostreptidae
Description: tRNA-Gly
Source: RNAcentral